Tetranychus urticae (two-spotted spider mite) is the source of this 1286-nucleotide long non-coding RNA. RefSeq lists it as uncharacterized. The record is from RefSeq and is a predicted model, not a curated record. Lineage: Eukaryota; Metazoa; Arthropoda; Arachnida; Trombidiformes; Tetranychidae.
GAUAAGUUCUGUAUUAAAUGUGAGAUUAGCCCAAAAAAACGCAACUAAACCAGAGAGGCAGUGAAAAGAGAUCAAGUUUGUCUUUCGUGAGACUCAACACUUUUGGUUCGUUAAAAUGGUUUAUCAUCAUUAUUAUCAUCCUGAUCAUCUUCUCCAAUCUAUGAUUACCAAUGAGAAAUGAAGAUAAACGUAAAGAUUAAAGGAGGAGCCUUUAUUACCUGGACUCUAAGGACAGCAGUCCGUUUCAUGGCCAACAACAUCUUGCACUUACAGAUUGAAUGCAAGUCAGCAUACACUCAAAAUGACCUUAAAGUCAGUUCUAUCUCCAUCUUUAGUAUUUUCAUCAACAUCUUCUUCGCAGUUGUGGGUGAAAAAUUAAAUCUAAUCACUAAUUGUUACUUUUGAUUACAAUACCAAUGAGCAAAUUAUAAUUUUAACACUUAAUUGGAAGUUGUUACACUUGUAAACUUCACAACAAAAUUGCAAUCGUGUGAUUUUCAGGGGAAUGCGGUGCUGAAUCACUGAAAGUUUCCUUUCGAAAUCAAUCAUUCUCAUAACAUUCAAGUGCAUUUGGAAUAUUCUUGAUGUUUUUCCCUCAUUUGGGUUGAGUUUAUGUGUUAGAUUUGGUUUAAUUUUACUAAUUAAUCUGUUAACUGGAAUUAACCAUCAAAUGACGGAUCGCUGGAAGCUAAUUUUACUUCCACAAUGGAAUCAUUUCAUUUCAUUUGUCAUAAUUAACUCAACUUAAUGAAAUCAACUUGUUUCCACGUAAAAUGAUCAAACAAGAUUUUGAAAUCAAUUGAUGACAACUGUCUAAAAUGAGCUUACAUGAGCUGUACUAGGAACUAAACGAGAAACAGUCGACUAACUAGGAUUAACACACUCAAACACUCUUUUGGCCUGAUCUUGCGAGUUGUCACUACGCUCGAAAAUCACUCGAUACACUAGAGGGCGCUAGUAUCGCCUAUGUAAAAAAAGACAACAAUCCGCCUAAUUGCCCACAAUUAAGGCCAAUUGAGGAUUUUUGGGCAAAUUUGAAAUGCAAAGUGUACGCAGAUGGUUGGUUGCCUCGAAACAAGUUACAUCUUAUUCGUAGGAUCAAAGAUAAAUUGCGUACAUUCGAUCAAAUUUACUUCAACAAUUUAAUUGGAAACAUUAAAUCUAAAAUAAUCAAAGCAGAUCGAGACGGAAUCAACACUCUUAUUCAUUAAUAAAAGCAUGAUAAAUCCUAUUUUGGCAAUAAAAAAUCUCUAUCUUAAGUAGUUUUUGCUAGAGAAUCAUUCAAA